Molecule: long non-coding RNA, 1690 nt
Filed under: Equus asinus (donkey)
Lineage: Eukaryota; Metazoa; Chordata; Mammalia; Perissodactyla; Equidae
Description: lncRNA (ENSEASG00005028829.1)
Source: RNAcentral
CUCCUUUGCUGCCUUUGGAGAAGAAAGCUGCCAUUGUUGUGAGCUGCCUAUGGAGGAUGUGGUGUGGCAAGGAGCUGAGGGCAGCCUCUGACCAACAGCCAACAAGAAAGUGAAGUGCUCAGUCCAACAACUGCAAGGAACUGAAUGCUGCCAGCAAACUGUAUGAGAUCAGAAGUGGAUCCUCCCACAGUCGAGCCCCAGAUGAGACUGCAACCCCAACCACCACUUUGAUUAAAGCCUUGACACUAGGAAGAGGACCCAACUAAGUUGUUCCUGGACUUCUGGCACAUAGAAACUUCUAGGUCUGGACUUGAAGAACUUCUGUCUUCCACUUACUCUGCUGAGAUUUUGGUGUUAAGAGCUGUCUAGAUUCUCUGGAGUGUAAGAUUGAGACCUCAAAAUGCAAGUUUCCUGUUGAAAUGUAAGAUACGGUGUUUGUAAAGCAUGACUGGGAAAACUUUCUCUGAAAGAAUCAGAGAAUGAAGAUGUAAAGACAGGAACUGUUGGAGCCAUUUUGCUACUAGGAUGAAAAGAGCUUACAAAUGAAGCCGACAUGAAGAGAAGGGUGCAGAUGAGUGGAUUCCACUUAGAAGUAAGCUGACUCUGAGGCUUGCCUUAUCUCUGAACUUCAAGUUCUAAAAGCUAAUAAGUCCCUUUAUUGGCUAAGCUGAUUUGAAUCAGCUCUUCUGUUUCUUGCACCAAACAAUUCAUAACCGAUACAGAAUUUGGUUCCAGGAGUGGGGUGCAGUAAAACACAAACUCUAAGAUGUAGACCUGUCUGAGCAGGGAUGAUGAUGUGAAGAGCACUGGCUGUUGGGACUCAGGCCUGUGCCUACAAAGCACAACAGGGAAAUGGCAGGAAAAAUCCAGAAUUUUGGAUUACGGUAAGAUCCUACAAGAAAGAGACGAUCUUAAGAUGAAGUGACCCAUCUGAAGGCAGAGAAGGAAGAAAAUAUGGUCUUGCUUAAAGUGUCCCUCUCCAGGUAUGGACUGCAAUCAAAACGACUGAACUCUAACAGUAUUGCGAACACCUUUACUCCAAGUUAAGGUUCACACAAGUAAAGACAGGAGGUAAGACUGGGGCAAAAGAUAAGCCUAACCCCUUAGGCCAUUCCCGAAUACUUCCUACUAAACAGUCCCGAAUUGACAAAGCAAACAAGUACAGCUGUGGGCAGGGAACAAAUUAUUCCACUGGAAGUUAUUGUCAGAAACUGUGCAGAAGCAGAAGCCAAGAUAAAAGUAGCAGCCACUACGCUAAGGCCUUAGGGGAUGAUAAUACAACAGAGGCCUGUUGUUAGAUAACAGAAAUUCCUAGACUCGAAUCCAGUGACCACAGACAGGCUCUCUGUCUAUGGUUCCUAGCCUGUGGAUGUGACUGGUCAAAUACCUUGAUGAUAACUGACAACUAAGUUUAUAAAGGAGCAAUAUUGCCAAAGAAAUCCCAGUCCUGGACAACCAGUCGAGGAUUGCUCAGCUACUAUGGCAGGCUCAGAUUCUUUGAAGUCACACACACAGAAAAGGGGAUGCUAAAAUUAUGCAGCCUCUGGAAGGAGAAACUUCUCCAGAUAUGUCAACGAACAAAGAAAAGGCCCUGAGAGAAGAAAACCAGAGGCUGCCAGAUUGACUGACUAAGCCACUCCUCUGCUGUCAGACCAUCGUCAGACCAUGCUGCUAAGGAGAAGAAAAAAAA